Molecule: non-coding RNA, 72 nt
Organism: Parelaphostrongylus tenuis
Lineage: Eukaryota; Metazoa; Nematoda; Chromadorea; Rhabditida; Metastrongylidae
Source: the annotation of a GenBank genome assembly
GCGCCGGUAGUGCAAACGGCUAGCGCAUGCUCACUGAAAAGUGAGAUCUGGGUUCGAAUCCCGGCUGACGCA